CAUAUCUAUUUACAUUGCUACUUUUCUGACCAAACAUGGACUCAAGUACUCAUAGCUAUGAUUUGUAAACAUAAAAGAUGGUACUAGACAGUGAACGCUACCUGCUGUUGAUUUUACAGGGAUGCGUUCUUUGACUACGCCAGGCACACCAAGCGUUUGCUUGGCACAUUGUACAGGUUGCUGUCGGAGGCUCUUGGGCUUGGCCCGACCUACCGAACUGACAUAGACUGCAACAAAGGGCAGAUGAUAUUGUUCCACUACUAUCCUCCAUGCCCUGAGCCCGAUCUCGCCAUCGGGACAACCAGGCAUUCCGACACCGGCUUCCUCACCGUGCUCCUUCAGGAUGACAUCGGUGGCCUGCAGGUCCUCCACGACGAUCAGUGGAUUGACGUCCCGCCGACGCCAGGAGCGUUCAUAGUGAACGUCGGUGAUCUCAUGCAGGUAUGUACAGUAUGCUCAUUGUUGAGGUCCCAACUGUUGAUUAUCGCAACAAAUCGGGGAGGUCAUCGUUAGUGUCAGAUCUUAAUCAUCGUUUGUCAUAACUAAGUUUUUGUUGUGUGUAUGCGCAGAUGAUGUCGAACGACAAGUUCAAAAGCGCCGAGCACAGGGUGGUGGCGAAGAAGGCUGGACCGAGGGUCUCGAUGGCGUGCUUUACCAGCCAUUAAGAUUCGACAAGGAUGUAUGGCCCUAUCAGGGAGCUGCUGUCUGAUGAGAAUUCCCCGUUGUACAGGGAAACACUCGCAAAAUAUUACAUCAGGUCAGCCGGACGCUCACACAUCACUCGUGGCAGCCGAGCAGAUAAGAAGAGCCGGCGGCUACACGCCCAGUCGCCCCACCAACCUGUUCCGUGCCACAUCGAUCAAACAAGAACAAGAGCCGAAGUGCCGAACGCACUCGCUGUCCCCCGUCCCGGCCCUGCCGCCGGCCGCAACCAACGCCGCGACACGCGUAACCAUGUCGUCCGCCCCGGCCCCCUCUCCCGCCACCAGCGCCGCCGUCCCCUACGACCGCCUGGCUGAGCUCCGCGCGCUGGACGCGAGCUUCGCGGGCGUUCGUGGCCUCGUCGCGUCCGGCGCCACGAGCGUCCCACGCAUCUUCCGCGUUCCGAACCCCGAACAGCCGCCGCCACAACAGCCCGGCGCUCCCCACCACCACCAGCCGACCUGCAUCCCGACGAUCGACCUCAGCGCGGCGGACCACGACGCGCUGGUGGCGGCCGUGCGGCGCGCCGCGGCGGAGUGGGGGCUCUUCCUGGUGACGGGCCACGGCGUGCCCGCGGAGGUGGCCGCCGCGGCCCUGGGCGCAGCGCGGGCGUUCCACGACGCCGACGGCGGGGAGGGCAGCGAGAAGGCGCGGCUCUACACACGGGACCCGGCCAAGGCGGUCAAGUACAACUGCAACUUCGACUUGUACGAGUCACCUGUGGCCAACUGGCGCGACACGCUCUACCUUCGCCUGGCGCCUGACCCGCCGGCCGACGGCGAGAUGCCGGAGAACUGCCGGUGAGCGCUCUCGUCUCCGCUCACUACCUUGUUUGAUAAUGGUAAUACUAGUAACAUAUUCUCGUGAAUCCUGAUGAGUGAUGACCAACGACCUCACGGGAGGAUAAAUCAGUGAAGUAGAUGGAUUUGGGCACCCAUAUUGUUUUGUGGAAGUUUCAAGUUGCAGCUGAUGCUGGUGAAUAUUUGGAGCUAUGUUUUGCCAUGAUUUUUCACAGAGAACUCCUAUUUCUGUUCUAUUGUUUAAGGCUAGGUAACACUUAGUGCAUCACUAGUACUGUAGUACAGUAUCAACUUAUUAUUGGCAAGCGCUAAGUUGCCUGAUGAAACACUACUUUGUACAGGACUCGCAUAUUUUUCCUCAAACCACUACCUCCGGUAAAAUGUAGACUUCUGAAUUUAUGUCUCAGCGAAGUCAUGACAUGCCUAUCCUCAUGUUUACUUUUGUUCACAUUUUGACUAAAAGGAAGCAUGUCGAUAGUGUGCCAAACUAGACUGGCUAUGUGCUCUGAACGCCACCUGCCACUUGGCACUCGACUCUAUUGCCGUCGGAGAACGGCUGCCCAUUUCUUAAUUUCUCUGUUUCUUCCCCGCAAACACACAAAAGUAAAAAUUCUACACCACAAUCAUAGAUAUUGCCAUGCUGGUGGAGUGUUUCUUUGUAUUAUUGUAUCGAACUUUGUAAGGACAUUUUUUAUUAUGUGUGUAGAGUGGAAAAACAACCUUCCAUCCUCAACGAAAAUCUUGGCUAUUUUUGACCGGGGACGGUUUAGUCCGGAUCUAAAUUUCGUAAUCCGACAUCAACCGGAACUAAAGCCCUCGGAGGCUUUAGUCCGGGUUUGUAAGAUCAACCGGGACUAAAGGAUCACUUUUAGUCCCGGUUAGUGUUACCAACCACGACUAAAGGGUCUCCACGAGUUACUAUAAAAGGAUUGCAUCUCCUACUUAGUUAGUUUUUCUUCACACGUAUAUUUCGCGUGAAAAAUCGUGUGACUUGUGACAGCGAUGUGUGCGUGUUGUGGGAGCCUCUCAGGAUUUUCUAAUAGUUUUUUGGCGCAACUGGGACUACUGCUCGUUUCUCUACCAGCGACAUCGUGGGCUGUAGAAUCUUCAGAUAAACAUAUCUAUUUACAUUGCUACUUUUCUGACCAAACAUGGACUCAAGUACUCAUAGCUAUGAUUUGUAAACAUAAAAGAUGGUACUAGACAGUGAACGCUACCUGCUGUUGAUUUUACAGGGAUGCGUUCUUUGACUACGCCAGGCACACCAAGCGUUUGCUUGGCACAUUGUACAGGUUGCUGUCGGAGGCUCUUGGGCUUGGCCCGACCUACCUAACUGACAUAGACUGCAACAAAGGGCAGAUGAUAUUGUUCCACUACUAUCCUCCAUGCCCUGAGCCCGAUCUCGCCAUCGGGACAACCAGGCAUUCCGACACCGGCUUCCUCACCGUGCUCCUUCAGGAUGACAUCGGUGG
Molecule: long non-coding RNA, 2974 nt
Filed under: Setaria italica (foxtail millet)
Lineage: Eukaryota; Viridiplantae; Streptophyta; Magnoliopsida; Poales; Poaceae
Description: long non-coding RNA (SITA_LNC005018)
Source: RNAcentral